This 292-nucleotide ribosomal RNA is filed under the name uncultured bacterium. RNAcentral's name for it is "partial 16S ribosomal RNA". It matches the Rfam family "Bacterial small subunit ribosomal RNA", at positions 505 to 796 of the family's 1533-position model. The record is from RNAcentral.
GUUUCAGCAGCCGCGGUAAGACGGAGGGGGCAAGCGUUGUCCGGAAUUACUGGGCGUAAAGCGCGCGUAGGUGGUCUGGUGCGUCGGUGCUGAAAGCGCCGGGCUUAACCCGGCGAGGCGUGCCGAUACGACCAGACUGGAGGCAGGGAGAGGGUCGCGGAAUUCCGGGUGUAGUGGUGAAAUGCGUAGAGAUCCGGAGGAACGCCAGAGACGAAGGUGGCGACCUGGUCCUGACCUGACACUGAGGCGCGAUAGCGUGGGGAGCAAACCGGAUUAGAUACCCCUGUAGUCC